This 22-nucleotide small RNA is filed under the name Bombyx mori (domestic silkworm). RNAcentral's name for it is "ovarian small RNA-29148". The record is from RNAcentral. Lineage: Eukaryota; Metazoa; Arthropoda; Insecta; Lepidoptera; Bombycidae.
UCGUAGGCGCCUCGGCGCGUAC